GACGAACGCUGGCGGCGUGCUUAACACAUGCAAGUCGAACGGAAAGGCCCUGCUUGCAGGGUACUCGAGUGGCGAACGGGUGAGUAACACGUGGGUGAUCUGCCCUGCACUUCGGGAUAAGCCUGGGAAACUGGGUCUAAUACCGGAUAGGAGCCAUUUUUAGUGUGAUGGUUGGAAAGUUUUUUUCGGUGUGGGAUGAGCUCGCGGCCUAUCAGCUUGUUGGUGGGGUAAUGGCCUACCAAGGCGGCGACGGGUAGCCGGCCUGAGAGGGUGGACGGCCACAUUGGGACUGAGAUACGGCCCAGACUCCUACGGGAGGCAGCAGUGGGGAAUAUUGCACAAUGGGCGCAAGCCUGAUGCAGCGACGCCGCGUGGGGGAUGACGGCCUUCGGGUUGUAAACUCCUUUCGCUAGGGACGAAGCUUUUUGUGACGGUACCUAGAUAAGAAGCACCGGCUAACUACGUG
Molecule: ribosomal RNA, 466 nt
Filed under: uncultured bacterium
Lineage: Bacteria
Description: partial 16S ribosomal RNA
Rfam family: Bacterial small subunit ribosomal RNA
Source: RNAcentral